RNAcentral lists this long non-coding RNA (404 nucleotides) under Elaeis guineensis (African oil palm). RNAcentral describes it as "long non-coding RNA (EGUI_LNC059689)". The record is from RNAcentral. Lineage: Eukaryota; Viridiplantae; Streptophyta; Magnoliopsida; Arecales; Arecaceae.
GGGCCUCUACUUGAAUUCUGACUAUCAGCAAUGUGGUUUUCCACUGAUCUUGGGAUAUGAUGUUUCUAUGAAUUAUUCAAAGGAGAACAUUCUCCAUUUCCUAACUAGGUUUCCCAUUCAUCGUCAUCACCAUCGUCACUGUUGUCUUGAGAGGAAUUUGGUGAGUCCUUAGAAUGAGGAUGCUGUUCAACAACAUAAUUAAUUUUAAUGUCAACCAUAUACUUAUGAGAUCCAAUAGUUACCUCUAGUGAUUCUGGUGUGUGCUCGAAUUCUUCAUAGAAAAGAAUAACAUCAAACCUUAAGAGAUCUUCCUAACAGACACUAGAGUGACAUGCUCUAUAUGGCACUCCAAAGUUGGAGAUAAUUGUAGUGCUUGCUUCUACUAUCCAGCAAAAUAGGGGAAG